UACGCUCAAUUAAAAAAGUAAAAACCAAAAACCAAAGUCACGUUGUCGAAGAUGGCUCGGGAGAUGGAACUUCAGAAAGAGAAGGAAAGGCAAGGAUGUAAGAUGUUUAUUGGUGGGUUAACUUUACGUACAACUAAAGAAAUGCUCGAGGAUUACUACUGUCGCUGGGGGGAGGUCAUUGAUUCUGUGGUCAUGAAGGAUCCUCAGACAAAUCGCCCUAGAGGGUUUGGUUUCAUAACCUACACUAGCCCUGAGAGUGUUGAGAGGUGCCUGGCAGAGGGCCCUCAUGAGAUUGACGAAAGAAUAGUAGAGACAAAGAGGGCAGUACCUCGUGAAGAGACUCGUCAAGAACCCGAGCCGUCCUCUAAAUCAAAGAAGGUGUUUUUGGGUGGUCUUUCUCUUGAAACCACCGAGCGAGAGAUUAUGGAAUCCGUGAGACAUUUUGGGGAAAUCGACGAAGUCUUCUUGAUUGCUGACAAGGACACAAACAAGCCUCGUGGAUUUGGAUUCGUCACAUUCAUGGACUGCGAAAGUGCCAACAAGCUCUGCAGCCAACGCUACAUUAGAAUCAGCGAAAGAGAUGUUGAAGCCAAGAAGGCCAUCAGCCUUGACUCAAUGAAGAGGCAGGCUCCUUCAAGACCACCUCCAAGAAGAAGCGAGAUGCCUGAUAGAUCCCAUCGAUCCCGCGGGUCUUCGUCACGCGAUCAUAGCUACAUACCACCACCACCACAAGCCUACCAACAACCCUCUUACCACCACAGUCAGUCCCAGUAUGGUGGACAAUACAAUGACUACCCACCCCAACCUUAUCGUGAUGAGUAUUAUAAUAAUGGAGGAGGAUACCGUGGGGUUGGAGGGGGAGGAGGAGGAGGUGGUGGUCCUUCUUCUUAUAGACCUCCUUAUAAUUCAGGGAGUGGAGGAUAUGGAGGAGGAGGACCUGGUCCUGUUGCUUAUGGAGGCUAUAGUUAUAAUGGUGGACCUGGGGGCUAUCGUGCAGGAGGAGGAGGAGGGUAUCCUGGGUACCCAAGAGGAGGAGAAAUGAGUUCACAGUCUGGCAGAGUAGGAGGAGGAGGAGGAGGAGGGUAUAGGAGUCAGGGUGGAGCUGCCUCUCAUAGCUAUCAUCCUUACAGGCGACCAUGACAAGGCAGGCUCGCUGAUUAUUAGUCUUUGUUAUAAGUUAUGACUUGAAAUGAAAGAGGAAUACUUGCUGGUUCAUCUACUUCAUUGUUAUAUGCUGAUAUUAAUGAUUGGAGUACAAGACUCUAGAAAUGGAUCAUUCACCUUCACUAUAUUUAUGGAGGAUUUACAAUUUGUUUGACAUCUUUAUGUACUAGCCAGAAGGAGAAAUUGAACGAGCAUUAGUGGGACAAUAAUAUAAUUUAUCUUUUAAAAUUUUGUUUAUGAUAAAAAUGCACAAAGAAAGUAA
RNA transcript from Amphimedon queenslandica, 1426 nucleotides. It is a transcript of the gene named heterogeneous nuclear ribonucleoprotein A0, with no coding region annotated. The transcript is spliced from 6 exons. The record is from RefSeq and is a predicted model, not a curated record. NCBI's taxonomy places the organism in Eukaryota, Metazoa, Porifera, Demospongiae, Haplosclerida, Niphatidae.